GUAGGGAAUAUUGGGCAAUGGAUGCAAGUCUGACCCAGCCAUCCCGCGUGCCGGAAGAAGGCCCUCAGGGUUGUAAACGGCUUUUGACGGUGAAGAAUCGACAGGAUGCGUCCUGUUUUGACGGUAGCCGUUGAAUAAGCACCGGCUAACUCCGUGCCAGCAGCCGCGGUAAUAAGGAGGGUGCGAGCGUUGUCCGGAUUUAUUGGGUUUAAAGGGUGCGUAGGCUGGAAGGUCAGUCAGCGGUGAAAAGCUGUCGCUUAACGAUAGUCUUGCCGCAGAUACUUCCUUUCUUGGAUGAGGAGGAGGCCACUGGCACGGAUGGUGUAGCGGUGAAAUGCAUAGAUAUCAUCCAGAACACCGAUUGCGAAGGCAGGUGGCUGUACCUUAAUCGACGCUGAUGCACGAAAGCAUGGGGAGCAAACAGGAUUAGAUACCCGGGUAGUCC
RNAcentral lists this ribosomal RNA (445 nucleotides) under uncultured bacterium. RNAcentral's name for it is "partial 16S ribosomal RNA". It matches the Rfam family "Bacterial small subunit ribosomal RNA", at positions 354 to 796 of the family's 1533-position model. The record is from RNAcentral.